GCUGGCCAUCGCUUCCUGAGCCCUAGCUUCGGGUCUACAACCUUCUUCUUGAUCCAAGGUGCCGCCUCAGCACAACUUGAUCUUGGCCAAGAGCAAGAAUCGGAGCCCUAGUUUCGGUUCCUCGUUGCAGUAGUUGUGGAUCGCACGACACCAGCUGUAGGGAUUGAUUGAGGAGGAUGCUUCGGAUAAACCUAGUGAUGGAUCUUCCUUGAGAAGAACUUCUUCUUCUCCAAUUCUUGUGGCUGGGGUCUUUGGUAGCUCUCGGGUGAAGAGCAGCUUGAUUUGGGAUCAAUUGAGCUGUUGGCAGGGUUAUGGUGGGAGCUGUGAGUGUGGAUCAGCUACAACCUUCCAAGG
Long non-coding RNA from Zingiber officinale, 354 nucleotides. RefSeq lists it as uncharacterized. The record is from RefSeq and is a predicted model, not a curated record. Lineage: Eukaryota; Viridiplantae; Streptophyta; Magnoliopsida; Zingiberales; Zingiberaceae. The transcript is spliced from 4 exons.